CCACGCUGUCUUCGUGGAAAUAAACACCUCCCUGCCACAGGUGCUAAUGAGGCUUCAUCUCUUUGGCUCAGGGAGCUGCCUCAGGAGCCCUGGCAAACCCCUCGGCCUGCCUGCAGCCAAGGAAGGAGCAGCCACAGCUUAGCGCUGCUGGAAAGUAAUGAGGAGUGAGGUCAACCUGCCCAGCCCACGGGACAAGUUCCCACAGCCUUGCAGAGGAGGCAUCAGAACAGCACAAGCAAAUGUGUUUACAGCUUCACGCUUAAAUUUGAAACGUGUUUCUAACCUGACAUCUGUGUAUUUUCAGCCCUUUCCAAAGCUCUUGUUUUACUUUCUAUGGCUUCUGCUUCAUUAUUCUAAUUUAAUAAAGCCGCAGUGAAGGCAGAGUGCCGACUCUUUGUGGCUAAUGAAAG
RNAcentral lists this long non-coding RNA (410 nucleotides) under Junco hyemalis (dark-eyed junco). RNAcentral's name for it is "lncRNA (ENSJHYG00000001543.1)". Lineage: Eukaryota; Metazoa; Chordata; Aves; Passeriformes; Passerellidae. The record is from RNAcentral.